RNAcentral lists this transfer RNA (82 nucleotides) under Puccinia coronata f. sp. avenae. It matches the Rfam family "tRNA". Rfam says of the family: Transfer RNA (tRNA) molecules are approximately 80 nucleotides in length. Their secondary structure includes four short double-helical elements and three loops (D, anti-codon, and T loops). Further hydrogen bonds mediate the characteristic L-shaped molecular structure. tRNAs have two regions of fundamental functional importance: the anti-codon, which is responsible for specific mRNA codon recognition, and the 3' end, to which the tRNAs corresponding amino acid is attached (by aminoacyl-tRNA synthetases). tRNAs cope with the degeneracy of the genetic code in two manners: having more than one tRNA (with a specific anti-codon) for a particular amino acid; and 'wobble' base-pairing, i.e. permitting non-standard base-pairing at the 3rd anti-codon position. Lineage: Eukaryota; Fungi; Basidiomycota; Pucciniomycetes; Pucciniales; Pucciniaceae. The record is from Rfam by way of RNAcentral.
GCCUGUUUAGCAUAGUCGUUAUUGCGCGGCACUUGUACGUGACGUCAUGCCGAGGUCGCUGGUUCAAAUCCGGCAAUGGGCU